This 1467-nucleotide ribosomal RNA is filed under the name Synechococcus sp. MH301. RNAcentral's name for it is "16S ribosomal RNA". It matches the Rfam family "Bacterial small subunit ribosomal RNA". Lineage: Bacteria; Bacillati; Cyanobacteriota; Cyanophyceae; Synechococcales; Synechococcaceae. The record is from RNAcentral.
CCUGGCUCAGGAUKAACGCUGGCGGCGUGCUUAACACAUGCAAGUCGAACGAACCUUCGGGUUAGUGGCGGACGGGUGAGUAACGCGUGGGAAUCUGCCCUCAGGAGGGGGAUAACGGUUGGAAACGACCGCUAAUACCCCAUAUGCCGAGAGGUGAAACGAAUUUCGCCUGAGGAUGAGCCCGCGUCUGAUUAGCUAGUUGGUGGGGUAAAGGCCUACCAAGGCAUCGAUCAGUAGCUGGUCUGAGAGGAUGAUCAGCCACACUGGGACUGAGACACGGCCCAGACUCCUACGGGAGGCAGCAGUGGGGAAUUUUCCGCAAUGGGCGCAAGCCUGACGGAGCAACGCCGCGUGAGGGAUGAAGGCCUCUGGGCUGUAAACCUCUUUUCUCAAGGAAGAAGAUCUGACGGUACUUGAGGAAUAAGCCACGGCUAAUUCCGUGCCAGCAGCCGCGGUAAUACGGGAGUGGCAAGCGUUAUCCGGAAUUAUUGGGCGUAAAGCGUCCGCAGGCGGCCUUGAAAGUCUGUCGUUAAAGCGUGGAGCUUAACUCCAUUUCGGCGGUGGAAACUACAAGGCUUGAGUGUGGUAGGGGCAGAGGGAAUUCCCGGUGUAGCGGUGAAAUGCGUAGAUAUCGGGAAGAACACCAGUGGCGAAGGCGCUCUGCUGGGCCAUAACUGACGCUCAUGGACGAAAGCUAGGGGAGCGAAAGGGAUUAGAUACCCCUGUAGUCCUAGCCGUAAACGAUGAACACUAGGUGUCGGGGGAAUCGACCCCCUCGGUGUCGUAGCUAACGCGUUAAGUGUUCCGCCUGGGGAGUACGCACGCAAGUGUGAAACUCAAAGGAAUUGACGGGGGCCCGCACAAGCGGUGGAGUAUGUGGUUUAAUUCGAUGCAACGCGAAGAACCUUACCAGGGUUUGACAUCCUGCGAAUCCCUUGGAAACUAGGGAGUGCCUUCGGGAGCGCAGAGACAGGUGGUGCAUGGCUGUCGUCAGCUCGUGUCGUGAGAUGUUGGGUUAAGUCCCGCAACGAGCGCAACCCACGUCUUUAGUUGCCAGCAUUUAGUUGGGCACUCUAGAGAGACCGCCGGUGAUAAACCGGAGGAAGGUGUGGAUGACGUCAAGUCAUCAUGCCCCUUACAUCCUGGGCUACACACGUACUACAAUGCUACGGACAAAGGGUUGCAAACUCGCGAGAGCUAGCUAAUCCCAUAAACCGUGGCUCAGUUCAGAUCGUAGGCUGCAACUCGCCUACGUGAAGGAGGAAUCGCUAGUAAUCGCAGGUCAGCAUACUGCGGUGAAUACGUUCCCGGGCCUUGUACACACCGCCCGUCACACCAUGGAAGUUGGCCACGCCCGAAGUCGUUACUCCAACCCGCAAGGGAGGAGGAUGCCGAAGGUGGGGCUGAUGACUGGGGUGAAGUCGUAACAAGGUAGCCGUACCGGAAGGUGCGGCUGGAUCACCUCCU